This 1474-nucleotide ribosomal RNA is filed under the name Nitrososphaerota archaeon. RNAcentral describes it as "bacterial SSU rRNA". It matches the Rfam family "Archaeal small subunit ribosomal RNA". Lineage: Archaea; Thermoproteati; Nitrososphaerota. The record is from RNAcentral.
GAAUCCGGUUGAUCCUGCCGGACCUGACUGCUAUCGGAUUGGUACUAAGCCAUGCGAGUCAUUGCAGCAAUGCAAGGCGGACGGCUCAGUAACACGUAGUCAACCUACCUUGUGGACGUGGAUAACCUCGGGAAACUGAGAAUAAACCGCGAUAGAUCAUUAUGCCUGGAAUGGCUUAUGGUCGAAAUAGUUUACUGCCACAGGAUGGGACUGCGGCCUAUCAGCUUGUUGGUGAGGUAAUGGCCCACCAAGGCUAUAACAGGUACGGGCUCUGAGAGGAGAAGCCCGGAGAUGGGUACUGAGACACGGACCCAGGCCCUAUGGGGCGCAGCAGGCGAGAAACCUUAGCAAUGUGCGAAAGCACGACUGGGUCAGUCCGAGUGAUUCCUGCUAAAGGAAUUUUUUACCUGUCCUAAAAACACAGGAGAAUAAGGGGUGGGCAAGUCUGGUGUCAGCCGCCGCGGUAAUACCAGCACCUCGAGUGGUCAGGACGUUUAUUGGGCCUAAAGCAUCCGUAGCCGGCUCUGCAAGUCUCCGGUUAAAUCCAUCUGCUUAACAGAUGGGCCGCUGGAGAUACUACAAAGCUAGGGAGUGGGAGAGGCGGACGGUAUUCGGGGGGUAGGGGUAAAAUCCUCUGAUCCUCCGAGGACCACCAGUGGCGAAGGCGGUCUGCCAGAACACGUUCGACGGUGAGGGAUGAAAGCUGGGGGAGCAAACCGGAUUAGAUACCCGGGUAGUCCCAGCUGUAAACGAUGCAAACUCGGUGAUGCAUUGGCUUAUGGCCAAUGCAGUGCCGCAGGGAAGCCGUUAAGUUUGCCGCCUGGGAAGUACGGCCGCAAGACUGAAACUUAAAGGAAUUGGCGGGGGAGCACCACAAGGGGUGAAGCCUGCGGUUCAAUUGGAGUCAACGCCAGGAAUCUUACCCGGGGAGACAGCAGAAUGAAGGUCAAGCUGAAGACUUUACCAGACAAGCUGAGAGGAGGUGCAUGGCCGUCGCCAGCUCGUGCCGUGAGGUGUCCUGUUAAGUCAGGUAACGAGCGAGAUCCCUGCCCUUAGUUGCAGCAGUUAUUCUCAGGAAUAGCUGGGCUAACUAGGGGGACCGCCACUGCUGAAGUGGAGGAAGGAGGGGGCCACGGCAGGUCAGUAUGCCCCGAAACCCUGGGGCUACACGCGGGCUGCAAUGAUAGUGACAACGGGCUCCUAACCCGAAAGGGAGAGGCAAUCCUUAAACACUAUCUCAGUUAUGACCGAGGGCUGCAACUCGCCCUCGCGAAUAUGGAAUCCCUAGUAACCGCGCGUCACAACCGCGCAGUGAAUACGUCCCUGCUCCUUGCACACACCGCCCGUCGCUUCAUUGAAGUUGGGUUUGUACGAGGUGACGUCUCAUUGGCGUUAUCGAAUACGAGUCUAGCAACAAGGGAGAAGUCGUAACAAGGUGACCGUAGGGGAACCUGCGGUCGGAUCACCUCCUUAG